RNAcentral lists this unclassified non-coding RNA (279 nucleotides) under plant metagenome. RNAcentral's name for it is "partial contains small subunit ribosomal RNA, internal transcribed spacer 1, and 5.8S ribosomal RNA". The record is from RNAcentral.
UUUCCGUAGGUGAACCUGCGGAAGGAUCAUUAUUGUAUAAUCGAGGUGCCAGGGCCGUCGCUGACCCGCACGGUCGUGCACGCUCCAGUGCCCUCGCACACAUCCAUCUCACCCCUAUGUCCACCACCGCGUGCCUCCCCCCUUGGCUUUAUCGGAGGGGGUCUUACGUUUUCUCCCCACCUUUGUCUGCAGUGUAGCAUGUAUUUUUUGUUUUUGCGUUCCCUCAAUCAAUACAACUUUCAACAACGGAUCUCUUGGCUCUCGCAUCUAUGAAGAUCC